UAGGGAAUAUUGGACAAUGGGCGCAAGCCUGAUCCAGCCAUGCCGCGUGAGUGAAGAAGGCCCUCGGGUUGUAAAGCUCUUUUGUUGGGGAAGAAAAGCAUCCGGUUAAUACCCGGGUGUUCUGACGGUACCCAAAGAAUAAGCACCGGCUAACUUCGUGCCAGCAGCCGCGGUAAUACGAAGGGUGCAAGCGUUACUCGGAAUUACUGGGCGUAAAGCGUGCGUAGGUGGUUUGUUAAGUCUGAUGUGAAAGCCCUGGGCUCAACCUGGGAAUGGCACUGGAUACUGGCAAGCUAGAGUGUGGCAGAGGGUAGUGGAAUUCCUGGUGUAGCAGUGAAAUGCGUAGAGAUCAGGAGGAACAUCCGUGGCGAAGGCGACUGCCUGGGCCAACACUGACACUGAGGCACGAAAGCGUGGGGAGCAAACAGG
Molecule: ribosomal RNA, 429 nt
Filed under: uncultured Thermomonas sp.
Lineage: Bacteria; Pseudomonadati; Pseudomonadota; Gammaproteobacteria; Lysobacterales; Lysobacteraceae
Description: bacterial SSU rRNA
Rfam family: Bacterial small subunit ribosomal RNA
Source: RNAcentral